Molecule: non-coding RNA, 1212 nt
Organism: Drosophila virilis
Lineage: Eukaryota; Metazoa; Arthropoda; Insecta; Diptera; Drosophilidae
Source: RefSeq, a predicted model, not a curated record
UACAUGUAUGUACAUAACAUUCUGCUAACAUAGACAAACGCUCGCCUUAGCGUGGUCAACAUUUUGACGCUCAGUGUAAUCUUAAGCAAAUCUCUAUCACCAAGUCAACUUUUUGUUCCAGCCGCUAGACAGUUAAUUUUUUUGUUUUUUAUUUUUCUUCGUUAAGCCUCAUAAAAGCUUUUGUUGCUUUUAUCGGUUAAGAGUUAACGAGCUCCACGGUUCACUAUCAAUGACUGAUUACAGAGCGCGCCUAACAGUCGUCACAUUACAUUGUAUGCGGUUAAGCGACGAGCCUUGCUCUUAAGCCGCUUGUAAGCUUACAGCAAAGAGAGAGAGCAUAAAAUCCACACGCACGUGCAGUGGCUAAAGGCGCCGCAGCGCUGUCUGUGGGGAGACAGAGAGAAUGCGCUGUUAAAAUUGUCAUUCAUGCUCGGGCGCGCGCUCUCCCAGACGCCGACUGCGUCGCUUAGCAGCAGCAGCAGCCACCGCAGUCGAAACGGCGUUUAACGGUGAUCAGUACGAGAUCGAAAUCGGCCGCCGUUGGUUGUACGUAAUGCGCGUCGCGUUGCUCGUUGUCGUUGUCGUCGUCGUCGUCGUCGUUGCCGUUGCCGUUCAGCUUUCAAUUCAGUUAGUCGAUCGCCGUCGCAGUAGCAACAACAACAUGCACUAAACAAAAAGAAAUAAAAAAAAAAAAGAAGAAUUUUUUUUACAUCUUUUCGUUACGUUUCGUUUCGUUUUCGUUUUCUCAUGUUCUGUGUUCCAGUGCCGUGUGGGGCUAAGUGAGUGUUUUCUGCUCAAAAUGUUUCAAAAUCAAACAAAUGCACCAAUAUAAAUAAAGAGAGAAAAAAAAUUGAGAAAAAAGUCCUCUCGCAACGUGCUUGUUGUGUGUGCGCGCGCGUGUGUGUGUGUGUGUGCGUGAAGCGCAGCUGAUUUUUAAAUACGAAAUUUUUAAUAACGCUCUACCUGCUGCCCGUGCUCCCGCAACCCCACAGCUCGACCUGCUGCAGUUCUACAACGAACGAGAUUUAGCGUCAAUUUGCCGUUUCGCUGCUUUUGGCUUCACGAAAUGUAAACUGACAUUUUGCUCUGGCGCUUUGUUUCGCGCGGGCUUAUUGACAAAUUGUAACUGAACACGCAAAUUAUGAAAUGUGCGUAAAAUUCCCCCCCAAAAUAAUUCGAUAAAAGAUAAAUAAUUCCCGCAAAAAAAAAAAA